UACGUAGGGUGCAAGCGUUGUCCGGAAUUAUUGGGCGUAAAGAGCUCGUAGGCGGUUUGUCGCGUCGUUCGUGAAAACUCACAGCUUAACUGUGAGCUUGCGGUCGAUACGGGCAGGCUAGAGUUCGGUAGGGGAGACUGGAAUUCCUGGUGUAGCGGUGAAAUGCGCAGAUAUCAGGAGGAACACCGGUGGCGAAGGCGGGUCUCUGGGCCGAUACUGACGCUGAGGAGCGAAAGCGUGGGGAGCGAACAGG
This 253-nucleotide ribosomal RNA is filed under the name uncultured bacterium. Its description in RNAcentral is "partial 16S ribosomal RNA". It matches the Rfam family "Bacterial small subunit ribosomal RNA", at positions 524 to 776 of the family's 1533-position model. The record is from RNAcentral.